CUACGGGUUGCAGCAGUGAGGAAUAUUGCACAAUGGGGGGAACCCUGAUGCAGCAACGCCACGUGGAGGAUGACGCAUUUCGGUGUGUAAACUCCUUUUAUAUGUCAAGAAAAUGACGGUAGCAUAUGAAUAAGCACCGGCUAACUCCGUACCAGCAGCCGCGGUCAUACGGAGGGUGCAAGCGUUACUCGGAAUCACUGGGCGUAAAGGACGCGUAGGCGGGUUGGAAAGUCAGGUGUGAAAUCCUACAGCUUAACUGUAGAACUGCACUUGAAACUUCUAAUCUAGAGUAUGGGAGGGGGAGAUGGAAUUAGUGGUGUAGGGGUAAAAUCCGUAGAUAUCACUAGGAAUACCUAAAGCGAAGGCGAUCUCCUGGAACAUUACUGACACUAAGGCGUGAAAGCGUGGGGAGCAAACAGGAUUAGAUACCCCCGUAGUC
This 439-nucleotide ribosomal RNA is filed under the name uncultured bacterium. RNAcentral's name for it is "partial 16S ribosomal RNA". It matches the Rfam family "Bacterial small subunit ribosomal RNA", at positions 339 to 795 of the family's 1533-position model. The record is from RNAcentral.